GGAAGGCCCCCUUUGUUGUGGUGGAAGCCGGGCGCUGGUCUCUGCAGCCCGUGGCGAUGCCGCUGUACGAGGGCCUGGGGAGCGGCGGGGAGAAGACGGCGGUGGUGAUAGACCUGGGAGAAUCUUUCACCAAAUGUGGUUUUGCGGGAGAAACAGGACCAAGAUGCAUUAUUCCUAGUGAAAUAAAGAAACCUGACAUUCCUAAGCCUAUUAAAGUCGUUCAGUAUAAUAUUAACACAGAAGAGCUGUAUUCAUAUCUGAAGGAAUUUAUUCACAUGCUGUAUUUCAGACAUCUGCUGGUGAAUCCCAGAGACCGUCGCGUUGUAAUAGUGGAAUCUGUGCUAUGCCCCUCACACUUCAGAGAGACACUCACUAGAGUACUUUUCAAGUAUUUUGAGGUUCCUUCUGUGUUGUUUGCCCCAAGUCACCUGAUGUCUCUUCUGACACUUGGGAUUAAUUCUGCUAUGGUUUUAGACUGUGGAUAUGCAGAAAGUCUGGUGCUGCCUAUAUAUGAGGGAAUUCCCAUUUUGAGUUGCUGGGGUGCCCUUCCCCUAGGAGGAAAAGCAAUUCACAAGGAGCUGGAGAAUCAGCUGUUGGAGCAAUGCAGUGUUGACACAGGAGUAGCUAAAGGACAAAGACUCCCAUCAGUGAUGGGCUCAGUUCCAGAAGACAUUGUAGAGGAUAUAAAAGUCCGCACUUGUUUUGUGAGUGAUCUCCAACGUGGGCUGAAAAUCCAGGCAGCAAAGUUUAACAUGGAUGGCAGUGCUGAGCGUCCUUCACCACCUCCAGAUGUAGAUUACCCUCUAGAUGGAGAGAAGAUUCUGCAUGUAGUUGGCUCAAUCAGAGACUCAGUUGUUGAAAUACUAUUUGAGCAGGAUAAUGAAGAGAAAUCCGUUGCCACUUUAAUACUGGAUGCACUUAUUGAGUGCCCAAUAGACACCAGGAAGCAGCUGGCUGAGAACUUAGUAGUUAUUGGUGGCACUGCUAUGUUGCCAGGAUUCCUACACAGAUUAAUGGCUGAAAUUAGGUGCCUGGUUGAUAAACCAAAAUACAAAGAAGCACUUGCCACUAAGACCUUCAGAAUUCACACUCCACCUGCCAAACCCAACUGUGUGGCUUGGCUGGGAGGAGCCAUUUUUGGAGCUCUUCAGGACAUACUUGGAAGCCGGUCAGUGUCCAAGGAAUAUUACAGUCAAACAGGCCGUAUACCUGACUGGUGCUGUCUCAAUAACCCUCCUUUGGAAAUGAUGUUUGAGGUUGGCAAAGCCCCACCACCAUUGAUGAAGAGGGCUUUUUCCACUGAGAAAUAAGCAUCUGAAUACAACACAACUGCACAAGGCUUCCUUUCACCUAUUUCAAGCAGACCUAUACAAGUUGCUUCUUAUGCAAAGAAUGAAGGAGAUUCCUUGUUACCUGAAACCAUCUGUGGAAGUUUCUCUGCCAAACUCUGCAUAAAAUGUUGCACAUGUUAACAUAACCUGUUGGUUCAUAUAUUAAAGUGUCUCCUGGAAACUGUUUUGUUUUGUUGUCUGUCCAUGGAAGUUGUUAUAGGGAUAGUAAUUCUCUUAGACAGAGAUGCCUAUUUUCAGAAGCUGAACAGGGAGUUGCUCCAGGCUGAAGUUGUCAAAGUGUCAACCUGCCUGCUAGCUACCUUUACCCCCCCAAAUCUGUCCGACCACUCAGGAAAUGUACAUGAAAAUCUUAAUGUUAAUAACAUGCCCAUAUUGAUUAUUUUAAUUUUAUUUGGGUUGGAGAGGCAAGUUAGCCUCAAGGCAGAUGUUAAAAUAUGUAAUCCUACGGCAAUAAAUAUUAAAUAAAAAUACACAGCUGAACUCUAAGGCAAAUGAUGUACAAUAACUGAUGUAAAGACCAAAAGUAAUAAAAGACUUGAAAUUCCUAA
Molecule: RNA transcript, 1900 nt
Organism: Mauremys reevesii (Reeves's turtle)
Lineage: Eukaryota; Metazoa; Chordata; Testudines; Geoemydidae
Gene: ACTR10
Gene name: actin related protein 10
Exons: 14
Source: RefSeq, a predicted model, not a curated record